UACGUAGGGGGCUAGCGUUGUCCGGAAUCAUUGGGCGUAAAGCGCGUGUAGGCGGUUCGGUAAGUCUGCCGUGAAAACCUGGGGCUCAACCCUGGGCGUGCGGUGGAUACUGCCGGGCUAGAGGGUGGUAGAGGCGAGUGGAAUUCCCGGUGUAGCGGUGAAAUGCGCAGAUAUCGGGAGGAACACCAGUAGCGAAGGCGGCUCACUGGCCCGGUACUGACGCUGAGGUGCGAAAGCGUGGGGAGCAAACAGG
Molecule: ribosomal RNA, 253 nt
Filed under: uncultured bacterium
Lineage: Bacteria
Description: partial 16S ribosomal RNA
Rfam family: Bacterial small subunit ribosomal RNA
Source: RNAcentral